UACUAAAUGUAAGGAGAUACUAGGAGUUUCCAAACAGUUAUUUACAGAAAAAAUGAUCUCUAAUCUAUCUUAUUUGUAAAGAAAUACGAUAGACACUAGCCAGUACUUCAGGUGUGUGCAGAUAAGAAUCCUAGACUCUUUGGGUAGACUCUAUGCUAACAUUAUUGCCACUGGGAUGGCUCUCAGCUCUGUAGAUUUUGAAAGUACUCAGCUCCCCUUCCAGCUUACACUAGCUCCCUUAAUUGAAAAAUGUUAUAAGAACCAUAUAAUGAAACAUUAAUGGUAUAAAUGGAUCCAUGAAUUGUUUUCAAAAUUGAAAUGAUGGCUGAGUCACUAUUUAUGUCUGUUUAAUUUGGAGACAGAACUGGGCCACACGCAUGAUAUUUAUAAAGCAUAUUAAGCACUUAGAUGCUACAAAAGUAGGAGACACAAAGGGAACCAUUAUUAUUUACACACCUUGGCACAAACAAUGGAAAAGUAAGCAUGCAUAGAAAAACCUCUGGUAAAAAUAAGAAACAUGUGGAUAGUCACUAAGUGCAUUUAGCUGAUGUCUUUCGUUCUAAAAUUUCUGCUUUUAUACUUUAAAUUUUAAAAUGCUGUUUGCAGUGGGAACACUUUGGUGCAGGCAUAUGUCAAAUAACUAAAUGAGAGCCCAUGGUUGCCAAUGCAUAUGCCUCAGUGAAUUGUUAAUUCUUAAAUUAUGGUUAUGAAUACAUUAAAGUUUUCAGGCAGCUGCUGCCUAGCCUCGUUAUGCCACAAUGACAUGAUAUAUUAUAAACGUUGAGAUCCGUACGUUUAUGCUAGCAGCCUUGUAAACACUCUAGAAGGAGUACACCAGCUCCCAGUGUCUUCGUCAUGGCGAUAGACGGCUCUCCCUCUUGAAUUUUGUCUGGAAGGCUGUGUGGACCUCUUCUUCCCUUGGAAGUGACUUCGCUGGUUAUUAGCUGACCAGCAGUGGGUGACUUGUCCCAGUGCUGUGACUCUCAACGAUUCACUGGAAUCCUCUGCAGAGAUUCCUUCCAGAGUCUUGUAGGCUCUAAGGACCUUCAGUAGGUUAGGCCAAAGGUGUGAAGAAAAAUGAGUGGUGUGGAAAACCUUCUCUUAUGCCUCUCCUCUCCUGUUUCUCUUUCUGUGGCUUGCACCAGCUCAUCUUUUCUCUAUUUUGUUCCUCUGUGGCCAGAGAACAGUGGAAAGAAAGGUGGGAGCCUCAUACACUUAACACCAAAAGCAUUUACCAAGCCAAAUGUCAUCUAAUGGUUUUCUCGUUCCAUUUGUUCUGUGGUACACAUACAUCAUAAGAGGAAAGAGAAGGCUACUCUCCUGGUAUCAAUCAGCAUAGAGCAGUGCAUGGGAAAUUUGUGUACGUGAGAACUAGGUACAGAACUUCCAAAGUAAAGUCAUGUAGGUCACAGCUGCUUUGUAUUGACUCCAGCAACCGAACAGUGACUGACAUAGACUGGAAUAUGCACCACCUAGAAUCUUUUAGCAAGUUCACACUGCUACAGGAGAAAGUGGUGGCCUCUUAGCACAGAGGACUUCCCACAUCACUCUGAACACAUGUCUUAGAAGUGACAUUGGACUGAGCAUGGGGACUGC
RNAcentral lists this long non-coding RNA (1596 nucleotides) under Mus musculus (house mouse). RNAcentral describes it as "long non-coding RNA chr1:55559459-55561055". The record is from RNAcentral. Lineage: Eukaryota; Metazoa; Chordata; Mammalia; Rodentia; Muridae.